GAAAUACAUGGAAGAAGCCAUGAUGAUAGGCAGAAAAGAGAACAAUUACGCCAAGAGAAGGAAAUGUCCAAGUUUGCAUAAAUGGCAGAUGCACAUAGACAACGCCAACAAUAGCAACAACAACAACAACAUGAAGGUUUUGGGACCUCCUGCGAUGUUAGUGCACCCAAGGUUUCUUCAACAGUACUACAACAGGAUCAGUGACAAGAUAUGAAAUUUGGCUUUUUUAAGCAAGGCAAUGCCAAGAUACACAGUGGUAGGUGUUUUGUUCCAGUCUCAAGCUAGCAAUACUUUUUGAGUGUAUCUAGUAGAAGUAAGCAAGCAGAUCGUUCCCUUCGAGACCGG
Molecule: long non-coding RNA, 345 nt
Organism: Zingiber officinale
Lineage: Eukaryota; Viridiplantae; Streptophyta; Magnoliopsida; Zingiberales; Zingiberaceae
Exons: 3
Source: RefSeq, a predicted model, not a curated record